GACAGAGGGUGCAAACGUUGUUCGGAUUUACUGGGCGUAAAGCGCGUGUAGGCGGCUUUGCAAGUCGGAUGUGAAAGCCCACGGCUCAACCGUGGAAGUGCAUCCGAAACUGCAUGGCUGGAGUCUCGGAGAGGAAGGUGGAAUGCUUGGUGUAGAGGUGAAAUUCGUAGAUAUCAAGCAGAGCACCUGCGGCGAAGGCGGCCUUCUGGACGAUGACUGACGCUGAGACGCGAAAGCGUGGGGAGCAAACAGG
This 253-nucleotide ribosomal RNA is filed under the name uncultured bacterium. Its description in RNAcentral is "partial 16S ribosomal RNA". It matches the Rfam family "Bacterial small subunit ribosomal RNA", at positions 524 to 776 of the family's 1533-position model. The record is from RNAcentral.